CCUCCGUCACAGCACCGCCCCCCCGCCCCGACGCAGCACCAUUGUCAGCCACGCGGUGGCGCCAAGACACAGACUGUCAGGUUUUCCGCAGACUUUGGGGAGCAGAGAUGACAGGAGAGAUGCGGAGGAGACUCUCCUGUAGGACCCUUGGAAGGAAACAAGACGCCAGGUCUAGCGUUUGGGGAUCCUCUGGACAAGGCCACAGAGGGACAAAGCCAGGUGAGGACCUCACUGCCCUCAGGCCCUCCUCCCUUAAGCACCUGGAUUUAGCCUUUUUCUCCCUGCUCUCCGUCUGGAACCAGAUUCAGA
RNAcentral lists this long non-coding RNA (309 nucleotides) under Heterocephalus glaber (naked mole-rat). Its description in RNAcentral is "lncRNA (ENSHGLG00100033106.1)". The record is from RNAcentral. Lineage: Eukaryota; Metazoa; Chordata; Mammalia; Rodentia; Bathyergidae.